UAAAGAGUAAAAGAAAAUAACUAAAUAACAAAAAAAAAUAAAAUUGAGUUAAAAACAUAAAAAUAUUUUUAUCUUGUAAAGGGAGAUAUCCUGAAUAUUCAGUUCUGUUCUACAAAAUGUUACCAAUAAAAAAUUUGCAAGAAUGAAAACUUUAGUCAAAAGAAUAAAAUUUUUUCAAAGACGACGAUCUCUGCACAAAUGUGAAGGGCCCUUAAAUCAUGACGAUGAAAUUGAAACAAAAAAUAAAGAAAAUCAAUUCAAAAUAGUUAAAAAUAGGAUAACAAAACUAGCCAAGAUAACUAAACUCCUAAAACCCUAAACCCUAUACACAUGUUGAUUAAAAAAAAA
This 348-nucleotide long non-coding RNA is filed under the name Ananas comosus (pineapple). RNAcentral's name for it is "long non-coding RNA (ACOM_LNC011218)". The record is from RNAcentral. Lineage: Eukaryota; Viridiplantae; Streptophyta; Magnoliopsida; Poales; Bromeliaceae.